Eucalyptus grandis is the source of this 158-nucleotide long non-coding RNA. RefSeq lists it as uncharacterized. The record is from RefSeq and is a predicted model, not a curated record. NCBI's taxonomy places the organism in Eukaryota, Viridiplantae, Streptophyta, Magnoliopsida, Myrtales, Myrtaceae. The transcript is spliced from 2 exons.
CUGAGGGGCCGCCAGUGGCUUUAGAUCUGCGGCGCCUCUUGCUUGCUCAGUGAACUGGGCUAGUUCAAAUCGACUUUGAGAGAAGACAAAGCUCUUGUUUAAUCUAAUAAUUUUUUAAGGAGCAUAUACAGAAGGUAAGCCGUCCCCACCCAAAAAAA